UCUCAAGUGGUCUAGCGGUAAGGAUUCCACGCUCUCAACGUGGCGGCCGGGGUUCGAUUCCCCGCUUGGGAA
This 72-nucleotide transfer RNA is filed under the name Dreissena polymorpha. Its description in RNAcentral is "transfer RNA glutamic acid (anticodon CUC)". It matches the Rfam family "tRNA". From Rfam's summary of the family: Transfer RNA (tRNA) molecules are approximately 80 nucleotides in length. Their secondary structure includes four short double-helical elements and three loops (D, anti-codon, and T loops). Further hydrogen bonds mediate the characteristic L-shaped molecular structure. tRNAs have two regions of fundamental functional importance: the anti-codon, which is responsible for specific mRNA codon recognition, and the 3' end, to which the tRNAs corresponding amino acid is attached (by aminoacyl-tRNA synthetases). tRNAs cope with the degeneracy of the genetic code in two manners: having more than one tRNA (with a specific anti-codon) for a particular amino acid; and 'wobble' base-pairing, i.e. permitting non-standard base-pairing at the 3rd anti-codon position. Lineage: Eukaryota; Metazoa; Mollusca; Bivalvia; Myida; Dreissenidae. The record is from Rfam by way of RNAcentral.